AGUAAAGUGGCGUACGGGUGAGUAACACGUGGAUCAUCUACCUUUUAGUGGGGAAUACCGCUGGGAAACCGGCGACAAUACCGCAUAAGCCCGAGAGGGGAAAGCAGCAAUGCGCUAGAAGAGGAGUCCGCGGCUGAUUAGCUAGUUGGUAAGGUAAUGGCUUACCAAGGCAACGAUCGGUAGCCGGCCUGAGAGGGCACACGGCCACACUGGCACUGAAACACGGGCCAG
This 231-nucleotide ribosomal RNA is filed under the name uncultured bacterium. RNAcentral's name for it is "partial 16S ribosomal RNA". It matches the Rfam family "Bacterial small subunit ribosomal RNA", at positions 89 to 334 of the family's 1533-position model. The record is from RNAcentral.